This 497-nucleotide ribosomal RNA is filed under the name uncultured bacterium. RNAcentral's name for it is "partial 16S ribosomal RNA". It matches the Rfam family "Bacterial small subunit ribosomal RNA", at positions 28 to 507 of the family's 1533-position model. The record is from RNAcentral.
GACGAACGCUGGCGGCGUGCCUAAUACAUGCAAGUUGAGCGCUGAAGGUUGGUACUUGUACCGACUGGAUGAGCAGCGAACGGGUGAGUAACGCGUGGGGAAUCUGCCUUUGAGCGGGGGACAACAUUUGGAAACGAAUGCUAAUACCGCAUAAAAACUUUAAACACAAGUUUUAAGUUUGAAAGAUGCAAUUGCAUCACUCAAAGAUGAUCCCGCGUUGUAUUAGCUAGUUGGUGAGGUAAAGGCUCACCAAGGCGAUGAUACUUAGCCGACCUGAGAGGGUGAUCGGCCACAUUGGGACUGAGACACGGCCCAAACUCCUACGGGAGGCAGCAGUAGGGAAUCUUCGGCAAUGGACGAAAGUCUGACCGAGCAACGCCGCGUGAGUGAAGAAGGUUGUCGGAUCGUAAAACUCGGUUGGUAGAGAAGAACGUUGGUGAGAGUGGAAAGCUCAUCAAGUGACGGUAACUACCCAGAAAGGGACGGCUAACUACGUG